Molecule: ribosomal RNA, 486 nt
Filed under: uncultured bacterium
Lineage: Bacteria
Description: partial 16S ribosomal RNA
Rfam family: Bacterial small subunit ribosomal RNA
Source: RNAcentral
GACGAACGCUGGCGGCGUGCUUAACACAUGCAAGUCGAACGCUGAAGACCUGUCUUUUGUUGGGUUGGAUGAGUGGCGAACGGGUGAGUAACACGUGAGUAACCUGCCCUCUUCUUUGGGAUAACGCCCGGAAACGGGUGCUAAUACUGGAUAUUCACUGUUCUUAUCAUGGGGAUUGGUGGAAAGGUUUGUUCUGGUAGGCGAUGGGCUCGCGGCCUAUCAGCUGGUUGGUGGGGUGAUGGCCUAACAAUGCUUUGACGGCUAGCCGGCCUGAGAGGGUGACCGGUGACAUUGGGACGGAGAAACGGCCCAGACGAGGACGGGAGGCAGAAGUGGGGAAUAUUGACGAAAGGGCGAAAGACUGAUGCAGCGACGGCGAGGGAGGGAUGGGGGUCUUCGGGUUGUAAACCUCGUGCGGUAAGGUUCAGGCCGCAAAAGGGGGUUGUAGUGACGGUAGUGGGUAAAGAAGCGACGGCUAACUACGUG